CCUACGGGAGGCAGCAGUGAGGAAUAUUGGUCAAUGGGCGGGAGCCUGAACCAGCCAAGUCGCGUGAGGGAAGACGGCCCUAUGGAUUGUAAACCUCUUUAGGCGGGGAGCAAUGCCGGGCACGCGUGCCCGGAGGGAGAGUACCCGCAGAAUAAGCAUCGGCUAACGCCGUGCCAGCAGCCGCGGUAAUACGGGGGUUGCGAGCGUUAUCCGGAUUUAGUGGGUUUAAAGGGUGCGUAGGCGGAUUUUUAAGUCAGCGGUAAAAUGUCGGGGCUCAACCCGGGCCGGCCGUUGAAACUGGGGAGCGUGAGUGGGCGAGAAGUAUGCGGAAGGCGUGGUGGAGCGGUGAAAUGCGUAGAUAUCACGCAGAACUCCGAUUGCGAAGGCAGCAUACCGGCGCCCGACUGACGCUGAGGCACGAAAGCGUGGGGAUCGAACAGGAUUAGAUACCCCUGUAGUC
This 460-nucleotide ribosomal RNA is filed under the name uncultured bacterium. RNAcentral describes it as "partial 16S ribosomal RNA". It matches the Rfam family "Bacterial small subunit ribosomal RNA", at positions 338 to 795 of the family's 1533-position model. The record is from RNAcentral.